AGGUUAUCAAAAAGGAGACAAUGUUAUUAUAUUUACAGCUUCACAGAUUUAUAUAUCAAGAGAAACUACCCAAGGAGACUCAUCCACACUUGGAAGAGAUUUAGACAAUGAGAUUCUGGACCGGAGACACCAACAUGAGAAGAGAAUGAAGGAGGCUUCCCUUCAACAGCCAGCGAGAAAAAGAGAUUCUCAGGAAUUUAAACAACAAAGAAAGAAGUUUACCAACUAUCACAUGUGCUUGGAAGUGGAGCCUUGCUCAAUUGAGAUUUGAGAUAAGACAACAGCCCAGGCUAACACCUUGUUUGCAGCCUUUUGAGACCUGAAAUAAGACCCACUCGUCUCCAUUUACCUGUGAGCCCCAUCCCUAGAAGCAGACAUCCAAAGCCCCAGAAAAGAUGGGCUUAUUUCCUGCUCUGUCCCAAGGGCAAAGCUUCCGAGGAGAAGAGCAGCUCAUUGUGAUGAAGUAGCUGCUGCGCUUGAUUGUUACUAGGCAAAAAUAUUGUUUCAAUAUUGUCCUGUUAUCUAAUAAACUUCUCAUGGAAAAGGAGACUGAGAUGCCAACUUUAUUUUUCAAAAAUAUUGUAAGAAAAGCCCCACAUGGCUCUGAAGGGGAU
This 614-nucleotide long non-coding RNA is filed under the name Homo sapiens (human). Its description in RNAcentral is "HSALNT0011771". Lineage: Eukaryota; Metazoa; Chordata; Mammalia; Primates; Hominidae. The record is from RNAcentral.